Long non-coding RNA from Gambusia affinis (western mosquitofish), 751 nucleotides. RefSeq lists it as uncharacterized. NCBI's taxonomy places the organism in Eukaryota, Metazoa, Chordata, Actinopteri, Cyprinodontiformes, Poeciliidae. The transcript is spliced from 5 exons. The record is from RefSeq and is a predicted model, not a curated record.
CUUCCCUUUGGGCAGUACUCUGUUACUAUGGCAACGUUGGGCACUUCAACGCAUCCGCCGAUGAACUUACAGAGGUUAGGAUGAUCGAGCUCCCUGAGCAGAGAGACGGAGUCACAGAUGUUUCCAGCUCAGGCCGUCAGGAUGAAGGAGAGGCAGAGCAGGCCGAGCGGCAGGCCGAUGGCCACCUUGGUGCCGGGACUCAUGGGACAUUCGCCGCAGUCGGCCGGACAGACGGACCUACAGCCGGCAGGACGGUGCUCUUCGCCUCCAGCGCCGCCUGCAUGGUUCCCACCCUGAUGUGAGCGAUCAGCGAGGUCAGACCCGUAUGGAACAGAACCACCUGCAAGACGACGCGCAGGGAUCACAAAAUACUGAGAACCGUCGGGCCGAAGCAGCGUCCGUUAUCGAACUGAAGACAGAACCACCAGGUUAGGAACCGGGUCCGGAACCGACGGGUGGUUCUGGACCCGGUGGAAGCGGCUGACCUGUGGGAGAAGAUGCGGUUCUGGACGGCCCAGUGGUAGAAGGAUUCCCGGGCCGUGACGGAGUAGACGACGGUGAAAACCUGACCGGUUUUUACCAGUUCUGGAGGCCGCAGAACCCAGGACAUCAGGAGACCUGGAGGAGGAACCAGAACCAGAACCAGAACCAGAACCUGAGCUGUUUCUUCAUGUUGCUGCUGCUGCUGACAGAAACCUGCAGCUUCUGAGCUCCUCAGGCUGAGGAAGAGGAGGAAGAGGAGGAAGAGGAG